CGUAGGGCGCAAGCGUUGUCCGGAUUUAUUGGGCGUAAAGAGCUCGUAGGCGGCUUGUUGCGUCGGCUGUGAAAACCCGCGGCUUAACUGCGGGCUUGCAGCCGAUACGGGCGGGCUGGAGUUCGGUAGGGGAGACUGGAAUUCCUGGUGUAGCGGUGAAAUGCGCAGAUAUCAGGAGGAACACCGGUGGCGAAGGCGGGUCUCUGGGCCGAUACUGACGCUGAGGAGCGAAAGCGUGGGGAGCGAACAGGAUUAGAUACCCUGGUAGUCCACGCUGUAAACGUUGGGCGCUAGGUGUGGGGGGCCUCUCCGGUUCUCUGUGCCGCAGCUAACGCAUUAAGCGCCCCGCCUGGGGAGUACGGCCGCAAGGCUA
RNAcentral lists this ribosomal RNA (373 nucleotides) under uncultured organism. RNAcentral's name for it is "bacterial SSU rRNA". It matches the Rfam family "Bacterial small subunit ribosomal RNA", at positions 526 to 896 of the family's 1533-position model. The record is from RNAcentral.